RNAcentral lists this ribosomal RNA (460 nucleotides) under uncultured bacterium. RNAcentral describes it as "partial 16S ribosomal RNA". It matches the Rfam family "Bacterial small subunit ribosomal RNA", at positions 338 to 795 of the family's 1533-position model. The record is from RNAcentral.
CCUACGGGAGGCAGCAGUGAGGAAUAUUGGUCAAUGGGCUUACGCCUGAACCAGCCAAGUCGCGUGAGGGAAGACUGCCCUAUGGGUUGUAAACCUCUUUUGUCAGGGAGCAACGCCGGCUACGUGUAGCCGGACUGAGAGUACCUGAAGAAAAAGCAUCGGCUAACUCCGUGCCAGCAGCCGCGGUAAUACGGGGGAUGCGAGCGUUAUCCGGAUUUAUGGGGUUUAAAGGGUGCGUAGGCGGAAUGCCAAGUCAGCGGUAAAAUCGCGGGGCUCAACCUCGCUCCGCCGUUGAAACUGGCGUUCUUGAGUGGGCGAGAAGCAGGCGGAAUGCGUGGUGUAGCGGUGAAAUGCAUAGAUAUCAGGAGGAACUCCGGUGGCGAAGGCAGCAUACCGGCGCCCAACUGACGCUGAGGCACGAAAGCGUGGGGAUCAAACAGGAUUAGAUACCCCGGUAGUC